RNAcentral lists this ribosomal RNA (560 nucleotides) under Nectria sp. SGLMf04. Its description in RNAcentral is "eukaryotic LSU rRNA". It matches the Rfam family "Eukaryotic large subunit ribosomal RNA", at positions 66 to 647 of the family's 3401-position model. Lineage: Eukaryota; Fungi; Ascomycota; Sordariomycetes; Hypocreales; Nectriaceae. The record is from RNAcentral.
CAACAGGGAUUGCCCUAGUAACGGCGAGUGAAGCGGCAACAGCUCAAAUUUGAAAUCUGGCCCUCGGGUCCGAGUUGUAAUUUGUAGAGGAUGCUUUUGGCAAGGUGCCUUCCGAGUUCCCUGGAACGGGACGCCAUAGAGGGUGAGAGCCCCGUCUGGUCGGACACCGCGCCUCUGUAAAGCUCCUUCGACGAGUCGAGUAGUUUGGGAAUGCUGCUCUAAAUGGGAGGUAUAUGUCUUCUAAAGCUAAAUAUUGGCCAGAGACCGAUAGCGCACAAGUAGAGUGAUCGAAAGAUGAAAAGCACUUUGAAAAGAGAGUUAAAAAGUACGUGAAAUUGUUGAAAGGGAAGCGAUUAUGACCAGACUUGGGCCUGUUUGAUCAACUUGGGUUCUCCCGGGUGCACUCUCUCAGGCCUAGGCCAGCAUCAGUUCGUCGCGGGGGACAAAGGUUGCGGGAAUGUGGCUCCCCUCGGGGAGUGUUAUAGCCCGUUUCGUAAUACCCUGCGUCGGACUGAGGUUCGCGCAUUUUGCAAGGAUGCUGGCGUAAUGGUCAUCAUCGA